CGGCAAUGGACGAAAGUCUGACCGAGCAACGCCGCGUGAGUGAAGAAGGUUUUCGGAUCGUAAAACUCUGUUGGUAGAGAAGAACGUUGGUGAGAGUGGAAAGCUCAUCAAGUGACGGUAACUACCCAGAAAGGGACGGCUAACUACGUGCCAGCAGCCGCGGUAAUACGUAGGUCCCGAGCGUUGUCCGGAUUUAUUGGGCGUAAAGCGAGCGCAGGUGGUUUAUUAAGUCUGGUGUAAAAGGCAGUGGCUCAACCAUUGUAUGCAUUGGAAACUGGUAGACUUGAGUGCAGGAGAGGCGAGUGGAAUUCCAUGUGUAGCGGUGAAAUGCGUAGAUAUAUGGAGGAACACCGGUGGCGAAAGCGGCUCUCUGGCCUGUAACUGACACUGAGGCUCGAAAGCGUGGGGAGCAAACAGGAUUAGAUACCCUGGUAGUCCACGCCGUAAACGAUGAGUGCUAGAUGUAGGGAGCUAUAAGUUCUCUGUAUCGCAGCUAACGCAAUAAGCACUCCGCCUGGGGAGA
Molecule: ribosomal RNA, 523 nt
Filed under: Lactococcus lactis subsp. lactis
Lineage: Bacteria; Bacillati; Bacillota; Bacilli; Lactobacillales; Streptococcaceae
Description: bacterial SSU rRNA
Rfam family: Bacterial small subunit ribosomal RNA
Source: RNAcentral